GAUGAACUUUGGCGGCGUGCUUAACACAUGCAAGUCGAACGAAGCACUCUACUUGAUCUCUUCGGAGUGAUUGUUUUGUGACUGAGUGGCGGACGGGUGAGUAACGCGUGGGUAACCUGCCUCAUACGGGGGGAUAACAGUUGGAAACGACUGCUAAUACCGCAUAAGCGCACAGGGUCGCAUGACCUGGUGUGAAAAACUCCGGUGGUAUGAGAUGGACCCGCGUCUGAUUAGCCAGUUGGUGGGGUAACGGCCUACCAAAGCGACGAUCAGUAGCCGACCUGAGAGGGUGACCGGCCACAUUGGGACUGAGACACGGCCCAAACUCCUACGGGAGGCAGCAGUGGGGAAUAUUGCACAAUGGGGGAAACCCUGAUGCAGCGACGCCGCGUGAGCGAAGAAGUAUUUCGGUAUGUAAAGCUCUAUCAGCAGGGAAGAAGAAAUGACGGUACCUGACUAAGAAGCACCGGCUAAAUACGUGCCAGCAGCCGCGGUAAUACGUAUGGUGCAAGCGUUAUCCGGAUUUACUGGGUGUAAAGGGAGCGCAGGCGGUACGGCAAGUCUGAUGUGAAAGCCCGGGGCUCAACCCCGGUACUGCAUUGGAAACUGUCGGACUAGAGUGUCGGAGGGGUAAGUGGAAUUCCUAGUGUAGCGGUGAAAUGCGUAGAUAUUAGGAGGAACACCAGUGGCGAAGGCGGCUUACUGGACGAUUACUGACGCUGAGGCUCGAAAGCGUGGGGAGCAAACAAG
Molecule: ribosomal RNA, 750 nt
Filed under: uncultured bacterium
Lineage: Bacteria
Description: bacterial SSU rRNA
Rfam family: Bacterial small subunit ribosomal RNA
Source: RNAcentral